UAAUUCCCUCCUUCCCUCGCGCGGCAGGCACUGGAGGGUAAGAAGAGGCUGAAAAUGAGAAUCGCAGGUCCGGAGGGAGAAAAACGUUGCCUGGGAGGGAGUUAAGAGGGAGUUUACUCGUCUGGAAAAGAUUGAAGAAGCGACUCGGGAUGAAAUUAGCAGCUGCAGCCUCUCUUGCCUCGCCUCGCCUCGCCUCGCAACGCCACGCAACGCCAUCUGGUGACGCGGGGAAAAAAUACAGAGAAAAAUAUCCGGCCUUCCUAACAAGAUAUCCGGCAACUUCUUGACUUUCUCGACACAACAAAAACAAAAAGACUGAAGGAAAAAGAGUCAUUAAGGCUUUUUGUCAAGAGGAGCAGCAGCUAACGUGGAAGGGACGAAAAAGAAGAGGAAAAUUUAAAAGGAUAUAAAAAAGAAGUGUUGACUCUCCUCAGUGGAGCGGAAGCGGAAAUCCAGGGAGUGAGUCCUUACAGCAACUGGGACCUACUUUCGUGUAUUAGGACCCGGUGAUAAUUAGACCAAGAGAAGACCACUCUCAAGGGCGGCCUCACCUCACGCCGCAGCCUUCCCCAAGCACCAGGUAAGUCCGUCAGUUAAUACGCGCUUU
Molecule: long non-coding RNA, 607 nt
Organism: Eriocheir sinensis (Chinese mitten crab)
Lineage: Eukaryota; Metazoa; Arthropoda; Malacostraca; Decapoda; Varunidae
Exons: 4
Source: RefSeq, a predicted model, not a curated record